UGGGGAAUAUUGGACAAUGGGCGCAAGCCUGAUCCAGCAAUGCCGCGUGAGUGAUGAAGGCCUUAGGGUUGUAAAGCUCUUUCGCACGCGACGAUGAUGACGGUAGCGUGAGAAGAAGCCCCGGCUAACUUCGUGCCAGCAGCCGCGGUAAUACGAAGGGGGCUAGCGUUGUUCGGAAUUACUGGGCGUAAAGGGCGCGUAGGCGGCCUGUUUAGUCAGAAGUGAAAGCCCCGGGCUCAACCUGGGAAUAGCUUUUGAUACUGGCAGGCUUGAGUUCCGGAGAGGAUGGUGGAAUUCCCAGUGUAGAGGUGAAAUUCGUAGAUAUUGGGAAGAACACCGGUGGCGAAGGCGGCCAUCUGGACGGACACUGACGCUGAGGAGCGAAAGGGUGGGGAGCAAACAGGCUUAGAUACCCGUGGUAGUCC
This 425-nucleotide ribosomal RNA is filed under the name uncultured bacterium. RNAcentral describes it as "partial 16S ribosomal RNA". It matches the Rfam family "Bacterial small subunit ribosomal RNA", at positions 355 to 796 of the family's 1533-position model. The record is from RNAcentral.